This 250-nucleotide ribosomal RNA is filed under the name uncultured bacterium. Its description in RNAcentral is "partial 16S ribosomal RNA". It matches the Rfam family "Bacterial small subunit ribosomal RNA", at positions 524 to 774 of the family's 1533-position model. The record is from RNAcentral.
UACGUAGGGGGCAAGCGUUGUCCGGAAUUAUUGGGCGUAAAGCGCGCGCAGGCGGUUUUUUAAGUCCGAUGUAUAAGCCCGGGGCUCAACCCCGGGAGGCAUGGGAAACUGGGAGGCUUGAGUACAGAAGAGGAGAGUGGAAUUCCACGUGUAGCGGUGAAAUGCGUAGAGAUGUGGAGGAACACCAGUGGCGAAGGCGACUCUCUGGUCUGUAACUGACGCUGAGGCGCGAAAGCGUGGGGAGCAAACA